This 77-nucleotide transfer RNA is filed under the name Chloroflexota bacterium. Its description in RNAcentral is "Chloroflexi bacterium (anaerobic digester metagenome) tRNA-Ile". It matches the Rfam family "tRNA". Rfam says of the family: Transfer RNA (tRNA) molecules are approximately 80 nucleotides in length. Their secondary structure includes four short double-helical elements and three loops (D, anti-codon, and T loops). Further hydrogen bonds mediate the characteristic L-shaped molecular structure. tRNAs have two regions of fundamental functional importance: the anti-codon, which is responsible for specific mRNA codon recognition, and the 3' end, to which the tRNAs corresponding amino acid is attached (by aminoacyl-tRNA synthetases). tRNAs cope with the degeneracy of the genetic code in two manners: having more than one tRNA (with a specific anti-codon) for a particular amino acid; and 'wobble' base-pairing, i.e. permitting non-standard base-pairing at the 3rd anti-codon position. Lineage: Bacteria; Bacillati; Chloroflexota. The record is from RNAcentral.
GGGCGUAUAGCUCAGUUGGCUAGAGCGCAGUCCUGAUAAGACUGAGGUCCCAAGUUCGAGCCUUGGUACGCCCACCA